Molecule: non-coding RNA, 26 nt
Filed under: Mus musculus (house mouse)
Lineage: Eukaryota; Metazoa; Chordata; Mammalia; Rodentia; Muridae
Source: RNAcentral
UGUCCUAAACCUGGGUCUGUCCCUGC